GUACUUACUCCAGCAGCACAUACACUAAAAAACUGGAAUGAUACAGAGAAGACUGGCAAUGGGCCCCGCACAAGGAUAACAUAUUAUUUUUUUUAAAGUGAUGUAGAAUUGU
This 112-nucleotide small nuclear RNA is filed under the name Gorilla gorilla gorilla (western lowland gorilla). The record is from RNAcentral. Lineage: Eukaryota; Metazoa; Chordata; Mammalia; Primates; Hominidae.